This 496-nucleotide ribosomal RNA is filed under the name uncultured bacterium. RNAcentral's name for it is "partial 16S ribosomal RNA". It matches the Rfam family "Bacterial small subunit ribosomal RNA", at positions 28 to 506 of the family's 1533-position model. The record is from RNAcentral.
GAUGAACGCUGGCGGCGUGCCUAAUACAUGCAAGUCGAGCGAACAGAUGAGGAGCUUGCUCCUCUGACGUUAGCGGCGGACGGGUGAGUAACACGUGGAUAACCUACCUAUAAGACUGGGAUAACUUCGGGAAACCGGAGCUAAUACCGGAUAAUAUAUUGAACCGCAUGGUUCAAUAGUGAAAGACGGUUUUGCUGUCACUUAUAGAUGGAUCCGCGCCGCAUUAGCUAGUUGGUAAGGUAACGGCUUACCAAGGUAACGAUGCGUAGCCGACCUGAGAGGGUGAUCGGCCACACUGGAACUGAGACACGGUCCAGACUCCUACGGGAGGCAGCAGUAGGGAAUCUUCCGCAAUGGGCGAAAGCCUGACGGAGCAACGCCGCGUGAGUGAUGAAGGUCUUCGGAUCGUAAAACUCUGUUAUUAGGGAAGAACAAAUGUGUAAGUAACUAUGCACGUCUUGACGGUACCUAAGCAGAAAGCCACGGCUAACUACGU